ACAUAACUUGCUGGCUCUGAAAGAGUACUUUUUAGGGGAACAGGAGGGGGAAAAUCCCUACCUUCUUUUAUUGCCUUCUUUUAUUGCAAAAGAAGGGUAUUGCCUUCUUUUAUUGCAAAAGAAGGGUAUGAAAAAACCGGAUUAUAACAACAAGCGUGCUCCAAAAGUAAUAGAUGCAAAAGUACUAUGGAACACCAGAGUAUUGGAUCGAAAAGUAUCCAACCAAGCACUGAUUUUUUUUAUUACAUGCUUAAAGAUAUGAAAUUGAUAUUUGUUGGAAGGCAUAAAUGUCAAGGAUUAUGGUUUAGUAAUUUCUUAUUAAUAUACUCCCUCCAAUCCUUAAUAAG
RNAcentral lists this long non-coding RNA (347 nucleotides) under Brachypodium distachyon (stiff brome). RNAcentral describes it as "long non-coding RNA (BDIS_LNC005042)". Lineage: Eukaryota; Viridiplantae; Streptophyta; Magnoliopsida; Poales; Poaceae. The record is from RNAcentral.